CAAUAGCGUAUAUUUAAGUUGUUGCAGUUAAAAAGCUCGUAGUUGGAUUUCGGAUGGGAUUUGCCGGUCCGUCGUUACGAUGUGCACUGGCCAGUCCUAUCUUGUUGUCGGGGACUAGCUCCUUGGAUUCACUUCCUGGGACUAGGAGCUGACGAGGUUACUUUGAGUAAAUUAGAGUGUUCAAAGCAAGCCUACGCUCUGAAUACAUUAGCAUGGAAUAACACGAUAGGACCCUGGCUUAUCUUGUUGGUCUGUGAGACCAGAGUAAUGAUUAAGAGGGACAGUCGGGGACAUUCGUAUUUCAUUGUCAGAGGUGAAAUUCUUGGAUUUAUGAAAGACGAACUUCUGCGAAAGCAUUUGUCAAGGAUGUUUACAUUAA
Molecule: ribosomal RNA, 379 nt
Filed under: uncultured eukaryote
Lineage: Eukaryota
Description: partial 18S ribosomal RNA
Rfam family: Eukaryotic small subunit ribosomal RNA
Source: RNAcentral